RNAcentral lists this ribosomal RNA (253 nucleotides) under uncultured bacterium. RNAcentral describes it as "partial 16S ribosomal RNA". It matches the Rfam family "Bacterial small subunit ribosomal RNA", at positions 524 to 776 of the family's 1533-position model. The record is from RNAcentral.
GACGAAGGAUCCAAGCGUUAUCCGGAUUCAUUGGGUUUAAAGGGUGCGUAGGCGGCCCGGUAAGUCAGUGGUGAAAUCUCCUUGCUUAACAAGGAAACUGCCAUUGAUACUGCUGGGCUUGAGUACAGAUGCUGUGGGUGGAAUAUGACAUGUAGUGGUGAAAUACAUAGAGAUGUCAUAGAACACCGAUUGCGAAGGCAGCUCACAAAACUGUAACUGACGCUGAGGCACGAAAGUGCGGGGAUCAAACAGG